Molecule: ribosomal RNA, 496 nt
Filed under: uncultured Desulfobulbus sp.
Lineage: Bacteria; Pseudomonadati; Thermodesulfobacteriota; Desulfobulbia; Desulfobulbales; Desulfobulbaceae
Description: bacterial SSU rRNA
Rfam family: Bacterial small subunit ribosomal RNA
Source: RNAcentral
GCUCAGAAACUUAAAUGAAUGACGGGGCCCGGCACAAGCGGUGGAGUAUGUGGUUUAAUUCGAUGCAACGCGAAGAACCUUACCUGGUCUUGACAUCCCGGAGACCCUUAGGAAACUAGGGGGUGCUUCCAUCUGGAAGAAUCUGGAGACAGGUGCUGCAUGGCUGUCGUCAGCUCGUGUCGUGAGAUGUUGGGUUAAGUCCCGCAACGAGCGCAACCCUUGCCUUUAGUUGCCAGCAGUUCGGCUGGGCACUCUAAAGGGACUGCCGGUGUUAAACCGGAGGAAGGUGGGGAUGACGUCAAGUCCUCAUGGCCUUUAUGACCAGGGCUACACACGUACUACAAUGGCCGAUACAAAGGGCAGCGACACUGCGAGGUGAAGCCAAUCCCGUAAAAUCGGUCUCAGUCCGGAUUGGAGUCUGCAACUCGACUCCAUGAAGUUGGAAUCGCUAGUAAUCGUGGAUCAGCAUGCCACGGUGAAUACGUUCCCGGGCCUU